UCCGUAGGUGAACCUGCGGAAGGAUCAUUACAAUUUUGGGACACUGAGACGCUCUCGGGCGCUUUGGUGUCACCAAUCGAGAUACCAACCCAUGUCUUUUGAGCACCUUACGUUUCCUCGGCAGGCUCGCCUGCCAAUGGGGACCACUUUAAAACCCAUUUAUGUAUACAGUAAACGUCUACAAACAAAUGAAAUCAAAACUUUCAACAACGGAUCUCUUGGUUCUGGCAUCGAUGAAGAACGCAGCGAAAUGCGAUAAGUAGUGUGAAUUGCAGAAUUCAGUGAAUCAUCGAAUCUUUGAACGCACAUUGCGCCCUUUGGUAUUCCUUAGGGCAUGCCUGUUCGAGCGUCAUCUAAACCCUCAAGCACUGCUUGGUGUUGGGCGUCUUUGUCCCGCCUCUGGCGUGGGCUCGCCUCAAAAUCAUUGGCGGCCUGUGUAUUGGCUUCGAGCGCAGCAGACUCGCGCCUCGUCUCCUUUAGCAUAGGUGUCCAGCAAGCCUCACCCACUAAGUUUGACCUCGGAUCAGGUAGGGAUACCCGCUGAACUUAAGCAUAUCAAUAAGCGGAGGA
This 570-nucleotide ribosomal RNA is filed under the name uncultured Phoma. Its description in RNAcentral is "eukaryotic LSU rRNA". The stretch from base 199 to 352 matches the Rfam family "5.8S ribosomal RNA". Lineage: Eukaryota; Fungi; Ascomycota. The record is from RNAcentral.